AUUGAACGCUGGCGGCAUGCCUUACACAUGCAAGUCGAACGGUAACGCGGGGCAACCUGGCGACGAGUGGCGAACGGGUGAGUAAUAUAUCGGAACGUGCCCAGUAGUGGGGGAUAGCCCGGCGAAAGCCGGAUUAAUACCGCAUGAGACCUGAGGGUGAAAGCGGGGGAUCGCAAGACCUCGCGCGAUUGGAGCGGCCGAUAUCGGAUUAGCUAGUUGGUGGGGUAAAGGCUCACCAAGGCGACGAUCCGUAGCGGGUCUGAGAGGACGACCCGCCACACUGGAACUGAGACACGGUCCAGACUCCUACGGGAGGCAGCAGUGGGGAAUUUUGGACAAUGGGCGCAAGCCUGAUCCAGCCAUGCCGCGUGAGUGAAGAAGGCCUCGGUU
RNAcentral lists this ribosomal RNA (390 nucleotides) under uncultured bacterium. RNAcentral's name for it is "bacterial SSU rRNA". It matches the Rfam family "Bacterial small subunit ribosomal RNA", at positions 29 to 424 of the family's 1533-position model. The record is from RNAcentral.